This 381-nucleotide ribosomal RNA is filed under the name uncultured eukaryote. RNAcentral's name for it is "partial 18S ribosomal RNA". It matches the Rfam family "Eukaryotic small subunit ribosomal RNA", at positions 592 to 976 of the family's 1831-position model. The record is from RNAcentral.
CAAUAGCGUAUAUUAAAGUUGUUGCGGUAAAAAAGCUCGUAGUUGGAUUUCUACCGAAGAUAGCCGGUCGGGUCUUCGACCUUGUAUCUGGUUUUGUCUUUGGUAUCCUCAUAGGGAACGUUUCUGCGCUUUAUUGCGUGGUGCUGUAUCUAUGACUUUUACUUUGAGGAAAUUAGAGUGUUCACGGCAGGCAAACGCCUUGAAUAUAUUAGCAUGGAAUAAUAACAUAGGAUCUUCGUCCUAUUUUGUUGGUUUCUAGGGCUAAGAUAAUGAUUAAUAGGGAUAAUUGGGGGCAUCUGUAUCAACGCGUCAGAGGUGGAAUUCUUGGAUUGCGUUGCGACAAACUACUGCGAAAGCAUUUGCCAAGGAUGUUUUCAUUGA